This 449-nucleotide ribosomal RNA is filed under the name uncultured bacterium. RNAcentral's name for it is "partial 16S ribosomal RNA". It matches the Rfam family "Bacterial small subunit ribosomal RNA", at positions 29 to 523 of the family's 1533-position model. The record is from RNAcentral.
AGCGAACGCUGGCGGCAGGCCUAACACAUGCAAGUCGAACGGACCCUUCGGGGUUAGUGGCGGACGGGUGAGUAACACGUGGGAACGUGCCUUUAGGUUCGGAAUAAGCUCGGGAAACUGGGUCUAAUACCGAAUGUGCCCUUCGGGGGAAAGAUUUAUCGCCUUUAGAGCGGCCCGCGUCUGAUUAGCUAGUUGGUGAGGUAAAGGCUCACCAAGGCGACGAUCAGUAGCUGGUCUGAGAGGAUGAUCAGCCACACUGGGACUGAGACACGGCCCAGACUCCUACGGGAGGCAGCAGUGGGGAAUCUUGCGCAAUGGGCGAAAGCCUGACGCAGUCAUGCCGCGUGAAUGAUGAAGGUCUUAGGAUUGUAAAAUUCUUUCACCGGGGACGAUAAUGACGGUACCCGGAGAAGAAGCCCCGGCUAACUUCGUGCCAGCAGCCGCCGUAA